GUAAGGGGCCUGUCAACACGCCAGAUAACCUACGCCACGUGCGACCAUGCCAUACUAUCAUAAUAUCUCCCCGUACGCCGGUACAACCAACGCCACGUACGGGGUCUGUCUCAACGCCGGAUAACCUACGCCACGCGAGACCUGAACAUCAUAUCACAUAACUCCCCAUACGCCGGUACAACCAACGCCACGUAUGGGGCCUGUCCCAACGCCGGAUAAGCUACGCCACGCGGGACCUCAAUAUCAUAUCACAAAUCUCCCCAUACGCCAGUACAACCAACGCCAUGUAUGGGGUCUGUCGACACGCCGG
This 310-nucleotide long non-coding RNA is filed under the name Prunus persica (peach). RNAcentral's name for it is "long non-coding RNA (PPER_LNC007375)". The record is from RNAcentral. Lineage: Eukaryota; Viridiplantae; Streptophyta; Magnoliopsida; Rosales; Rosaceae.